UACGAGCUGCUACGGCAGCGAAGUGGAUGAUGUCAAGCUUCCAAGAAAAGCCCUAUACCCGUUAAGGCAUGACGGCCUGUACCCGAAACCGACACAGGUGGGGUGGUAGAGAAUACCAAGGGGCGCGAGAUAACUCUCUCUAAGGAACUCGGCAAAAUGGCCCCGUAACUUCGGGAGAAGGGGUGCCACCGCGAGGUGGUCGCAGUGAAGAGGCCCAGGCGACUGUUUACCAAAAACACAGGUCUCCGCUAAGUCGCAAGACGAUGUAUGGGGGCUGACGCCGCCCAGUGCCGGAAGGUUAAGGAAGCCGGUCAGCGUAAGCGAAGCUGGCGACUGAAGCCCCGGUGAACGGCGGCCGUAACUAUAACGGUCCUAAGGUAGCGAAAUUCCUUGUCGGGUAAGUUCCGACCCGCACGAAAGGCGUAACGAUCUGGGCGCUGUCUCGGAGAGAGGCUCGGCGAAAUAGAAUUGUCUGUGAAGAUGCGGACUACGUGCACCCGGACAUAAAGACCCUAUGAAGCUUUACUGUAGCUUGGUAUUGUGCUCGGGCUCUGAAUGCGCAGGAUAGGUGGGAGGCUUUGAUCCAUUGCUUGCGGGUGAUGGUGAGCCACUGGUGAGAUACCACUCUUUCAGAGCUAGGGUUCUAACGGUCACCCGUUAUCCGGGGACCGGACAGUAUCAGGUGGGCAGUUUGACUGGGGCGGUCGCCUCCUAAAAGGUAACGGAGGCGCGCAAAGGUUCCCUCAGGCUGGUUGGAAAUCAGCCGACGAGUGCAAAGGCAGAAGGGAGCUUGACUGUGAGACCAACAAGUCGAACAGGGACGAAAGUCGGCCUUAGUGAUCCGACGGUUCUGAGUGGAAGGGCCGUCGCUCAACGGAUAAAAGUUACUCUAAGGAUAACAGGCUGAUCUCCCCCAAGAGUUCACAUCGACGGGGAGGUUUGGCACCUCGAUGUCGGCUCAUCGCAACCUGGGGCUGAAGUCGGUCCCAAGGGUUGGGCUGUUCGCCCAUUAAAGCGGUACGCGAGCUGGGUUCAGAACGUCGUGAGACUGUUCGGUCCAUAUCCGGUGCAUGCGCAGGAACAUUGAGAGGAUUUCUCCCUAGUACGAGAGGACCGGGAGGAACGCACCUCUGGUGUACCAGUUAUCGUGCCAACGGUAAACGCUGGGUAGCCAUGUGCGGAGCGGAUAACCGCUGAAAGCAUCUAAGUGGGAAGCCCACCUCAAGAUGAGUGUUCCCAUGGCAUAAGCCAGUAAGGUCACGGGAAGAACACCCGUUGAUAGGCUCUACGUGGAAGCGUGGCAACAUGUGGAGCGGAGGAGUACUAAUAGACCGAGGGCUU
This 1341-nucleotide ribosomal RNA is filed under the name metagenome. RNAcentral describes it as "bacterial LSU rRNA". It matches the Rfam family "Bacterial large subunit ribosomal RNA", at positions 1568 to 2925 of the family's 2925-position model. The record is from RNAcentral.